This 304-nucleotide ribosomal RNA is filed under the name uncultured bacterium. Its description in RNAcentral is "partial 16S ribosomal RNA". It matches the Rfam family "Bacterial small subunit ribosomal RNA", at positions 506 to 809 of the family's 1533-position model. The record is from RNAcentral.
CAGCAGUAGCCGCGGUAAUACGUAGGUGGCAAGCGUUGUCCGGAAUUAUUGGGCGUAAAGGGCUCGCAGGCGGUUUCUUAAGUCUGAUGUGAAAGCCCCCGGCUCAACCGGGGAGGGUCAUUGGAAACUGGGAAACUUGAGCGCAGAAGAGGAGAGUGGAAUUCCACGUGUAGCGGUGAAAUGCGUAGAGAUGUGGAGGAACACCAGUGGCGAAGGCGACUCUCUGGUCUGUAACUGACGCUGAGGAGCGAAAGCGUGGGGAGCGAACAGGAUUAGAUACCCCCGUAGUCCCUGUCUCUUAUAA